GCCGGCGGUGGUGUGGUCGGCGUCAUGCGCUGGCUCCGGUCUGGCGGACCACUGCGUCCAGCGCGCCGCGCAGGCGC
RNAcentral lists this transfer RNA (77 nucleotides) under Stenotrophomonas maltophilia. RNAcentral's name for it is "tRNA-Arg". The record is from RNAcentral. Lineage: Bacteria; Pseudomonadati; Pseudomonadota; Gammaproteobacteria; Lysobacterales; Lysobacteraceae.